GAUGAAGAACGUAGCGAAAUGCGAUAAGUAGUGUGAAUUGCAGAAUUCAGUGAAUCAUCGAAUCUUUGAACGCACAUUGCGCCCCUUGGUAUUCCAUGGGGCAUGCCUGUUCGAGCGUCAUUUGUACCUUCAAGCUCUGCUUGGUGUUGGGUGAUUGUCUAUUCUUUGUAGACUCGCCUUAAAGUCAUUGGCAGCCGGCAUAUUGGCCUGGGAGCGCAGCACAAGUCACGCUUCUUGUCAUGAAUGUUGGCGUCCAGUAAGUCUACAUAUUUUUGCUCUUGACCUCGGAUCAGGUAGGGAUACCCGCUGAACUUAAGCAUAUCAAUAAGCGGAGGA
Molecule: unclassified non-coding RNA, 336 nt
Filed under: soil metagenome
Description: partial contains 5.8S ribosomal RNA, internal transcribed spacer 2, and large subunit ribosomal RNA
Rfam family: 5.8S ribosomal RNA (bases 1-120)
Source: RNAcentral